Molecule: transfer RNA, 72 nt
Filed under: Tupanvirus deep ocean
Lineage: Varidnaviria; Bamfordvirae; Nucleocytoviricota; Megaviricetes; Imitervirales; Mimiviridae
Also listed under: 1 other name
Description: tRNA-Ala
Rfam family: tRNA
About the family: Transfer RNA (tRNA) molecules are approximately 80 nucleotides in length. Their secondary structure includes four short double-helical elements and three loops (D, anti-codon, and T loops).
Source: RNAcentral
GGGCCUGUGGUGACAGUGGUAACACAUUUCGUUAGCAACGAAAAGAUCUGGGUUCGAUUCCUAGCUGGUCCA